UGGUGGAGUGAUUUGUCUGCUUAAUUGCGAUAACGAACGAGACCUUAACCUGCUAAAUAGCCCGUACCGCUCCGGCGGUGCGCCGGCUUCUUAGAGGGACCAUCGGCUCAAGCCGACGGAAGUUUGAGGCAAUAACA
Molecule: ribosomal RNA, 137 nt
Filed under: uncultured eukaryote
Lineage: Eukaryota
Description: partial 18S ribosomal RNA
Rfam family: Eukaryotic small subunit ribosomal RNA
Source: RNAcentral